GCAGACUGAGCUCUGUGAUCACUAUGCAAAAAGCAUCAUGAACAUGAAAAAGAGCCAGAGAGGAGGCAGAUGCAAAGAGCAAUUGGAGUGCUCUGACCAUUUAUAAUGAUGAUGUAUCUGUAUUUCUAAUAAUGUGGAGAGAGACUCAUGCCAUGUUAAGAACAUGGAAAGACUGCAGAUGCUCAAACAGGUGAGGAGAUGAGGCUUGUAGGACGCAGCAGAGCUGGGACAAGGAGCAAAAGACUUUUGCUUGUGUCUCUAAAAGACUCACCAGCCACAUGAAGGAAAUGAGGGAGUGAAUGCGGAUCAAAUCUUCAGGCUACCUCCAUC
This 330-nucleotide long non-coding RNA is filed under the name Bos taurus (domestic cattle). RNAcentral describes it as "long non-coding RNA NONBTAT008990". The record is from RNAcentral. Lineage: Eukaryota; Metazoa; Chordata; Mammalia; Artiodactyla; Bovidae.